This 23-nucleotide non-coding RNA is filed under the name Arabidopsis thaliana (thale cress). The record is from RNAcentral. Lineage: Eukaryota; Viridiplantae; Streptophyta; Magnoliopsida; Brassicales; Brassicaceae.
GUCACCGAUUUUUCCUCCUAAAC